Molecule: transfer RNA, 77 nt
Filed under: Gammaproteobacteria bacterium
Lineage: Bacteria; Pseudomonadati; Pseudomonadota; Gammaproteobacteria
Also listed under: 1 other name
Description: tRNA-Lys
Rfam family: tRNA
About the family: Transfer RNA (tRNA) molecules are approximately 80 nucleotides in length.
Source: RNAcentral
GGGCCUCUAGCUCAAUUUGGCAGAGCAGUAGACUCUUAAUCUAUUGGUUCGGGGUUCGAGUCCCCGGGGGCCCACCA